UGUCUAUUUCCGGGUGAAAUCACAGCUCAGAAGUUCGGGUGUUUGUGGACUGUUGACAAAAUAGCGGUUACGUGUGGAAAGGGAGGGUGUACAAAGCAAACAGGGAAAAAAAAUCGAGCGAUCGCUUGUUUCUCUCAGCCUGCUGAAAGAAGCAGGAAGCGAACUAGAGCUGUUCACCUACACCGUUUCGAAUGAAAGACUGCAGUGGACAUUUGAAGGGGAAGAGAGCUCAGCUUUUGCCUUCUUACUGUGAUUGAAACCUGACCGGUAUUUGGAGUUCAAUCCGAGACGCGGACAGUUAACUUUUAACAUUUCGUUUCGGUGAAUUCUAUAGAACUGGCGUCGGACAUUCCAUUCCAGUUGGAAUAACGUGUUCUAAAGACAACAGCUGGUUGGACUCACGCCAUGGAGCUGUUCGAUCUACAUAAGUCUUCAGCGCUCUGACAGGGCAAAGUCUCAGAUCUCCUAACCCCGCCUCUGCAGGGGGUAAAGCCUCCAAGACCACUUGCUGAAAGUGAAAAGGGUUCGAGGCGACCUUAGGGACAUA
Molecule: long non-coding RNA, 547 nt
Organism: Cyprinus carpio carpio
Lineage: Eukaryota; Metazoa; Chordata; Actinopteri; Cypriniformes; Cyprinidae
Source: Ensembl